Lampris incognitus (smalleye Pacific opah) is the source of this 272-nucleotide long non-coding RNA. RefSeq lists it as uncharacterized. The transcript is spliced from 3 exons. Lineage: Eukaryota; Metazoa; Chordata; Actinopteri; Lampriformes; Lampridae. The record is from RefSeq and is a predicted model, not a curated record.
GAGACCCGGCGGAGUAGGCGAGACACAAAACCACGUGGCCCGCGCAUUUCUCUCUCGCGCGCUCUCUCUCUCGCGCGCGCGCGCACGUACACACACAUGGCAAUGGGUGUCGAAAAAGGUGUCGUGUGGACAAUAUAAAGCAGGAGGAAAAUGACGCUCGACGACGACAAGUAGAACCUGACGGGGGAACGUCUCUUUCACUCGGCGGACCAAAUAUUUCAAACAGCGCCCUCUGCAGAAGCUGAUGUUACUGUGAGUGGGUCCUAUUGGAG